This 522-nucleotide ribosomal RNA is filed under the name Cladius pectinicornis. RNAcentral describes it as "eukaryotic LSU rRNA". It matches the Rfam family "Eukaryotic large subunit ribosomal RNA", at positions 666 to 1138 of the family's 3401-position model. Lineage: Eukaryota; Metazoa; Arthropoda; Insecta; Hymenoptera; Tenthredinidae. The record is from RNAcentral.
CCAAGGAGUCUAACAUGUGCGCGAGUCAUUGGGACUACGCAAACCUAAAGGCGAAAUGAAAGUAAAGGUCAGCCUCGCGCUGACCGAGGGAGGAUGGGCCGCGUCACGAUGCGGCCCCGCACUCCCGGGGCGUCUCGUUCUCAUUGCGAGAAGAGGCGCACCCAGAGCGUACACGUUGGGACCCGAAAGAUGGUGAACUAUGCCUGGUCAGGACGAAGUCAGGGGAAACCCUGAUGGAGGUCCGUAGCGAUUCUGACGUGCAAAUCGAUCGUCGGAACUGGGUAUAGGGGCGAAAGACUAAUCGAACCAUCUAGUAGCUGGUUCCCUCCGAAGUUUCCCUCAGGAUAGCUGGCACUCGCGUACAAAACGUACACGAGUCUCAUCCGGUAAAGCGAAUGAUUAGAGGCCUUGGGGCCGAAACGACCUCAACCUAUUCUCAAACUUUAAAUGGGUGAGAUCUCUGGCUUGCUUGAACUAUGAAGCCACGAGAUUUCGGAUCAGAGUGCCAAGUGGGCCACUUUU